CCCCUUUGGAAGAAAAAAUAGAUUGUAAGAGUUUGCUGACAAGCUUUUGUUUUAUUCUGCUAAAAUUCGGUUAUAGUCAUAUUUCAUCUCUGUGUUUUUUAUUCUCUGCAGUUGCAUUUAGGCUGUAUGAUUUGAAACAAACUGGAUAUAUCGACCGAGAAGAAGUUAGGCAAAUGGUGGUUGCCAUUUUGAUGGAAUCCAAUGUUAAUUUGGAUGAUGAACUUCUCGAUGAUAUCAUAGACAAGGCAAGUAUCAGUCGGACCUUUUUUUUUCCCUUAAUUGUACGUCACCCAUCUUCUGGGGCACUUGAAACUCAGUACCUCCAAUCUUCAUUCAGACAUUUGCUGAAGUUGAUGCUGACAAGGAUGGUAAAAUCGGUAAAGAUGAUUGGAAAGUAUUUGUGUUAAAAAAUCCAUCUCUAUUGAAGAAUAUGACUCUUCCUUAUUUGAAGUAAGUGGCUUUGUAAAUUCUUAAUUUUAUCCUACUUCCCUUCAAUGCUGCCAAUUUCACCCCUGAAUUCAUCUGCACCCUGUUCAUUUACUUGAAAUAUAAAAUCCACCGUUGACAUAAUUAUCCUCCAGGGACAUAACCACUGCAUUUCCAAGUUUUAUUUUUAACACUGAGGUUGAAGAUUGAAUCCGAAACUUUUCGUAGCAUUUCCCAAACAAGGUGUUUGGAGGAUUCAGUUGCACACAGAACUGCUUUGUGCAGUAAAUCAUGUUGUUUUGCUUGAAACAUGCAUUCAACCUGGAGAGAGGGAAGUCAUUGUCUUUGCAAAGCAAGACCAUAGUGGUGGAAGCGGCAGCAGCAGCAUGACAAAAUCAUUCUGAUCAAUCUCUGCCAAUCAUAGGCUAUGGGAUUUCAUUUUUUAUGGUCUAAUCUAACGCCUGUGCUGUACAGUUUUUGGAAUGAAACUGUUUAGUUAUUACCCCAAAUUUGGCAUUUAUUAAUGUUAAAAUAUGCCCUCCAUUUGUCUUCCCCUGGUUCUCAAUGUUUUGUUUAUAGUGGCGUAUGUUUUGUGAUGAUAUUUUAAUCGAAACGCAUCUAAAUUUUUGUUCA
Molecule: unclassified non-coding RNA, 1059 nt
Filed under: Hevea brasiliensis (rubber tree)
Lineage: Eukaryota; Viridiplantae; Streptophyta; Magnoliopsida; Malpighiales; Euphorbiaceae
Source: RNAcentral